GGAAAUUAAAACGAUUUUAUUGAUCAAAAUGACAUGAGUGUCAGAAACUCCUAUGGUGCACAGCUGGGCUGUUACCGACAAGCAUUAGAGCUCUUAUUUCCAGACUCUUUCCUCAGAGUCAACUACGUUUACAGUAUUAAAGGAUAAACUUCAGUACAAAGCACCAAAAGAGUGAACAUUUUGACAUCCAGAACUAACGAUGACAUGAAAUACUACUAUUGUACAACAACACCUGUAAACAAACUGGAGCAAGGAGAUGACUGACUUAAAGUACGGUGUGCACAUCAUGGUGGUUCCAGCCAUGCAGUGUGACCCGAGGAGUGACACCAGGAGGUACUUCGAAGGAAAUGGUUACUGUCAUCACUUCACCUGGUACCAGUGAAAAAUAGUUGUUGGAGUAAUGAAUAGGAAGGAUGCGUGUGUCUUCUUCACCUUUCUUGUUUUCCUCCUUUGAAGCAUGAACAGAGAAAUGAAGAAAGAAAGCAACUCCUUUCCCCGUUCCAUUAACUUCAGAAACCUUCGCCUUGUUGUGACCCCUUGAAAAGUUCCUCCUAAUCUUCUCGUAUAAACUGAUUUCAUGUUUCUCCCCAUCCAAAAGGUCAAAAGAUUCUGAUGAAUCCGAUUCAUCAAAGCUGCCGUUUCUUCUGAUAAAGUUAUUUCUAUACAGUGGAGCGUUAGAAUCUGGCUUCUUUGAUGUGUUCUGAAUAUGCAUGCGCAUUUCAUAGCUCGACCCUUUUAUAAAGGUUAGAGAAGUUAUCUUGAGGGGUGGUCUUCUCUCCCUGAAUUGUUCCAAAAGCUUGUAAUCACCACCGGUUAGGUGCAACCAGUAAAAAUUCCUCGAGUAUAUGCGAUUAUCAGACACAUCAUAGAGUUUGAGAAGAAGAAAGUAAACUGGCUUUGGAUUCUUUGACUUUGGAUACUUCAUCUCAAACGUAGAUAUAGUUUUUUUGGGUGGCACAGUAAGUUUUUCAGAGGUUUUGUAGUAUGGACAUUCGCCUUCCAAAUCCCAAACUGAGGUUUCUAUAGCAACGUUAGAAAGUUCCUCUGACGUAGUGUUCACUACCUCAACAGAAUAUGUUGCCAGAUUAAGCUGAACAUGAAUUGGUUCUGCCGCAGAGCGGCAGCCAUAGAAUCCUGCUGUUUGGUCAAGGAGAUGAUCAUAAAACUGGCCUCUUAGACCAGUCCAUGGGUUUUGAGUUUUCCAUAUCAAAACACCUGUAUAUUUGCUCCACAUCUGGGAAGUGUAGCCUUCUAAAAGAGCUCUGUACUGAACAUAGUUAACAAGCUGUGCCUUCAGACAAAAAUCAUCCAGAUCAUUUGGUUUCCCAUAUGAUAAUAUCUGGUCAUGAACCUUCUCUGGUUUGGAAUAGGGAAUGUAUUUAUGAUAAGUCCAUAUGGGAUUGGGGACUUCUUCAAUGUAGCCAUUUGAUAAUUUUUUGAACAGAGGAAUCUGCCACCCUUCUGGAGGCAUAGUUGCCCUGAUAGUAGCCGCUACUGGCAUCCCCACGUUACCGACCUCUGGAUUAAAGCCAUACUGGUAGUAGUCAUGCUUGAAGAAGUCCUCGGAGUUCACCGAUGGUCCUUACGAAAUUCAG
Molecule: unclassified non-coding RNA, 1595 nt
Filed under: Hevea brasiliensis (rubber tree)
Lineage: Eukaryota; Viridiplantae; Streptophyta; Magnoliopsida; Malpighiales; Euphorbiaceae
Source: RNAcentral